Molecule: ribosomal RNA, 207 nt
Filed under: uncultured bacterium
Lineage: Bacteria
Description: partial 16S ribosomal RNA
Rfam family: Bacterial small subunit ribosomal RNA
Source: RNAcentral
CAUGUAGGCGGUUUUGUAAGACUGGCGUGAAAGGCUGCAGCUUAACUGUAGCAUGGCGCUGGUAACUACAAGACUUGAGUCACGGAGAGGGAGCUAGAAUUCCAGGUGUAGGGGUGAAAUCUGUAGAUAUCUGGAAGAAUACCAGUGGCGAAGGCGAGCUUCUGGCCGAUGACUGACGCUGAGGUGCGAAAGCGUGGGUAGCAAACA